CGUAUCCAUGUAUGUGACUUAAAUGUUUUAAAACUUAAUAAUUUUUAACAAGGUCAUAAGUUUUAAUAUAACCUGGUGUAUCUCGGACCUCUUCAGGUGAAGGUCAAGCCAGAUCUGUUCGAUGUAAUAUGUUAGCCAUCAUUUUAAGAAAGAAAAUGUCUAAUAAUCUGGUGUAUCUCGGACACCUCUUCAGGUGAAGGUCAGGCCAGAUCUGUUCGAUGUAAUAUGUAAGCCAUCAUUUUAAGAAAGAAAAUGUCUAAUAACCUGGUGUAUCUCGGACCUCUUCAGGUGAAGGUCAAGCCAGAUCUGUUCGAUGUAAUAUGUUAGCCAUCAUUUUAAGAAAGAAAAUGUCUAAUCAUGGAUCGUUUCUUGUAAGUGACUACAUUUGAAUUCUCUUUUCUCUAUUAUUCAUUCUAGUCAUUCGUGACUUCCCGAAUCUUUCUUGAAUAAUUAAAACCGUUAACUUUAACACCUUGUAAGCAUCUUUACGAGAGUAUGUAGAUUUUAACCACGUGAUUUUGAACCACAUUUCCCCAAAUCCAACUCUCUCAGGGUAGUUUACCUUUAUUGUAGUUACAUCACAGUCAAAUUUUGUAACAUUCUACCAUGAGUUAGAGGAAAGUAGAAAAGUUCUUGCAUGAUACGUUGGUUUAUUUCUUUUUUUCUUCGGGGAGGGGGGGGAGUGGCUUCAACAUUUUCUGUGACAGGUUGAACUAAACUUUGUCUAGUUUGUGAGAUAAUUUGGUACAAACACUGUGACAGACCAAACCGAUACGACAAAGUAAAGCAAAAGAAGCUGGUGAAAUGGCAACUUUAAAAAUCAUCUUUAAUAAUAAUAAUAACAAAAUUUGUAUCUAGGACUAACUAACCCCUGAAAUGUUAAACAUAAUUAAACUGAUUUUGUUCAAUCGAAGAUUUGACAAAUUUGUAUUUUUUUCUUCUUUUUUUUGCAUAUAUAAUGUAUUUUUCAGCCAAUGUAGAUUUAAGUAUAAUAGGUUUUAGUUUCAUUUCCCUGUAAAAAAUGAUAUAACUUAUCUAUUUAAAUUGUAUUCAGUUUUAACCUGUUAAUAGGAAGGAUAUCUGUGCAAAAAUGUUUUAUGUUUCAUAGUUAUCCAUUAAUCCCUUGUGUUGAUUUCAUAUAUUCACGUUAAUUAACACAGAGACACCUAGUGAAGCAAUGGGUUACUUCGGGCAUUCCAGCCGAAACUUUAAGCUAAAAAUUAUAUCUUUGAGCCACAAGAGUAUUAAUUUGUGUUAUCAAGGCCAGUAAAUAAAAAGAUGAAAAGUUGUUGAAGAUAAAAGUGAUAAAAGAUUAACUUACUUUGGUAUCUUGUGUCUUUCAUUUUGUAUUUUCUUUUCAUUGUUAAUGUCAUUUUUCUGUAAAAUUAGAACAUUUUAACUAAUUUCUAAUAAUUUUAGUCACGAAUAUUUUUUCCAUGCAUCGCAUCGUCUAAAGUUUGUAUUGUUUUUUUUUUUUUUUGCGUAAUAAGAGUGUGUAGCGAAAAGAAACGCCACCUAGCCGUAACUUAUUACAUUAUUCUCUACUAAAUCUUGGUCACAACAGAAUAAUCGCAUGGCUGUAUCGUAAUGCCCCCUGUCUCAUUUGUGUGUUUGUUUCUGUGCAUUCUUGAAGAAAAAAUAACAAAAACAACUCAAAUGGAAUAUAUAUUCCCUGUCUAUCAUUUUAUGCAUUGAAAUAUAUUUGCUUAAUAAAAAUGGUUUAAAAAUCAA
RNAcentral lists this long non-coding RNA (1731 nucleotides) under Limulus polyphemus (Atlantic horseshoe crab). Its description in RNAcentral is "uncharacterized LOC111089789". The record is from RNAcentral. Lineage: Eukaryota; Metazoa; Arthropoda; Merostomata; Xiphosura; Limulidae.